RNAcentral lists this transfer RNA (72 nucleotides) under Ovis aries (sheep). It matches the Rfam family "tRNA". From Rfam's summary of the family: Transfer RNA (tRNA) molecules are approximately 80 nucleotides in length. Their secondary structure includes four short double-helical elements and three loops (D, anti-codon, and T loops). Lineage: Eukaryota; Metazoa; Chordata; Mammalia; Artiodactyla; Bovidae. The record is from Rfam by way of RNAcentral.
UCCCUGGUGGCUCAGAGGUUAAAGCAUCUGCCUCCAAUGCGGGAGACCCUGGUUCGGUUCCUGGGUUGGGAA